This is a long non-coding RNA of Jatropha curcas, 782 nucleotides long. RefSeq lists it as uncharacterized. The record is from RefSeq and is a predicted model, not a curated record. NCBI's taxonomy places the organism in Eukaryota, Viridiplantae, Streptophyta, Magnoliopsida, Malpighiales, Euphorbiaceae.
CUUUUCCUUCUUCUUCUUCUUCUUCCUUUCGCGGGACAGCACCCCCUCCCUUGCUUCACUGUGUUUUUCGUUGACGGGCCACGGACUCCGGCAACCAAGCCCUCUAUCUUCAUCUUCUCGACGAGAGGAGCUCGCUGGUGGUGUCGUUUCGCAGAACAGAGGCCAGAAUCGAAGGAGGUCGCGACUGGAACUUAGCGUCGCGCGAUGAAGAUCUGGCAAUCCACGUCGUUUGCGACGGUUGCAGCUUGAAGGAACAGCGCCGAUUGCUUCAUCUCCUCCGUGCGAACUCUUCCUCUCUACUAGAUUGAAUUUCUGGUGAAGAUUGGUGAAACCACCAUGAUCGGUGGCUUCCUUGCUGGCUGUCGGGCUUGUUCCGUCCAAACGAGCCACUGGCUCAUCAAACUGAUGGUAGAUUUGGACUCCUCACAAAAAUUCGAGUCGGGUGGUGGUAACCUUGCAAUUUUAUAUGCAAGACCGACUUUCCGGCCACCGUGCACGGCGGUGACGGUGGCGGUCCGGCGAGGCACCAAGAGACAGAUUUUUCCUCUGCUCUCGUGGAUUGUGGAUUUGUCCUCCGAUUUUCAAUCGGUAAUAGGAAGAAACGAGAGUCCUAUGGACCCGACUGAGUUGAAAUAUCGGAACUAGAAACUUGUUAAUAGUUGUGUUAGCCAUGUAAAUGUUAAGGACUGUAGAUUAUGAAGUUCUGCAAUUGUAUUCCAAAUGGAUUGUAACUGGAUAACAAUAGCACAUAUAUUAAUAAUAUGGAUUGUAUUUUUGAUAUA